CCAGGAGGUUGGCUUAGAAGCAGCCACCCUUUAAAGAGUGCGUAAUAGCUCACUGGUCAAGUGAUUCCGCGCCGACAAUGUAGCGGGGCUCAAGUACACCGCCGAAGCUGUGGCAUUCAUGCGUUAGCCCCACCCCGCAAGGGGUGCAGGUGUGUGGAUGGGUAGGGGAGCGUCGUGUGUGGGGUGAAGCGGCCGAGUGAUCGUGUCGUGGACUGCACACGAGUGAGAAUGCAGGCAUGAGUAGCGAAUGACGGGUGAGAAUCCCGUCCGCCGAUUGACCAAGGGUUCCAGGGCUAGGUUCAUCCGCCCUGGGUAAGUCGGGACCUAAGGCGAGGCCGACAGGCGUAGUCGAUGGACAACGGGUUGAUAUUCCCGUACCGGCGUAGAACCGCCCAUGCUGAACCCGGUGAUGCUGAGCACCCAAAGCCCCACUGACCUUCGGGUUGGUGGUGGUGGAGCGUGCGACCCGAACCGGUAGUAGGCAAGCGUAUUAACAGGGGUGACGCAGGAGGGUAGCUUCCGCGUGGCGAUGGUUGUCCACGUCCAAGGGUGUAGGGCGGUCUGUAGGCAAAUCCGCAGACCUGACUUCAAUGUCGUGCUUGAGACCUGAUGGUGACCCCGUAGGGGGGAAGUAGGGUGAUCCCAUGCUGCCUAGAAAAGCCUCGGCGCGAGGUUCGAGCCGCCCGUACCCUAAACCGACUCAGGUGGUCAGGUAGAGAAUACUGAGGCGACGAGUGAAUCGUGGUUAAGGAACUCGGCAAAAUGCCCCCGUAACUUCGGGAGAAGGGGGGCCUGAGGGGUGAAGCCACUUGCUGGCUAGCUCUUGAGGGCCGCAGAGACCAGGGAGAAGCGACUGUUUACUAAAAACACAGGUCCGUGCGAAGUCGCAAGACGAUGUAUACGGACUGACGCCUGCCCGGUGCUGGAACGUUAAGGGGACCGGUUACUCAACGUAAGUUGGGGACGCUGAGAACUUAAGCGCCAGUAAACGGCGGUGGUAACUAUAACCAUCCUAAGGUAGCGAAAUUCCUUGUCGGGUAAGUUCCGACCUGCACGAAUGGCGUAACGACUUCUCCGCUGUCUCAACCGCGAACUCGGCGAAAUUGCACUACGAGUAAAGAUGCUCGUUACGCGCAGCAGGACGGAAAGACCCCGGGACCUU
RNAcentral lists this ribosomal RNA (1162 nucleotides) under Sphingomonas sp. Its description in RNAcentral is "partial 23S ribosomal RNA". It matches the Rfam family "Bacterial large subunit ribosomal RNA", at positions 1093 to 2101 of the family's 2925-position model. The record is from RNAcentral. Lineage: Bacteria; Pseudomonadati; Pseudomonadota; Alphaproteobacteria; Sphingomonadales; Sphingomonadaceae.